RNAcentral lists this transfer RNA (91 nucleotides) under Cavia porcellus (domestic guinea pig). The record is from Rfam by way of RNAcentral. Lineage: Eukaryota; Metazoa; Chordata; Mammalia; Rodentia; Caviidae.
GGGGAUUUAGCUCAGUGGCAUAAGCACCUGCCUUGCAAGCAGGCAGUCGUGAGUCUGCCUUGCAAGCAGGCAGUCGUGAGUUCAAUCCCCG